GCCUCAGUAGCUCAGUUGGAUAGAGCAACGCCCUUCUAAGGCGGCGGUCAGGGGUUCGAAUCCCUUCAUUGGUU
This 74-nucleotide transfer RNA is filed under the name Clostridium sp. CAG_433_25_7. Its description in RNAcentral is "tRNA-Arg". It matches the Rfam family "tRNA". Rfam says of the family: Transfer RNA (tRNA) molecules are approximately 80 nucleotides in length. Their secondary structure includes four short double-helical elements and three loops (D, anti-codon, and T loops). Further hydrogen bonds mediate the characteristic L-shaped molecular structure. tRNAs have two regions of fundamental functional importance: the anti-codon, which is responsible for specific mRNA codon recognition, and the 3' end, to which the tRNAs corresponding amino acid is attached (by aminoacyl-tRNA synthetases). tRNAs cope with the degeneracy of the genetic code in two manners: having more than one tRNA (with a specific anti-codon) for a particular amino acid; and 'wobble' base-pairing, i.e. permitting non-standard base-pairing at the 3rd anti-codon position. The record is from RNAcentral. Lineage: Bacteria; Bacillati; Bacillota; Clostridia; Eubacteriales; Clostridiaceae.